Molecule: ribosomal RNA, 816 nt
Filed under: uncultured bacterium
Lineage: Bacteria
Description: bacterial SSU rRNA
Rfam family: Bacterial small subunit ribosomal RNA
Source: RNAcentral
AGAGUUUGAUCCUGGCUCAGAACGAACGCUGGCGGCGUGGAUAAGACAUGCAAGUCGAGCGCUAAUUUCGGAGUAGCAAUAUUCCGGAGUUGGAGCGGCGCAAGGGUGCGUAACACGUGGGUAAUCUGCCAUGAAGUCUGGAAUAACUUGCUGAAAGGCGAGCUAAUACCGGAUGUGACCAUCGGGAGGCAUCUCCUGGUGUUUAAAGCUGGGGACCGUAAGGCCUGGCGCUUCAUGAUGAACCCGCGGCCUAUCAGCUAGUUGGUGAGGUAACGGCCCACCAAGGCUAAGACGGGUAGCUGGUCUGAGAGGACGACCAGCCACACUGGAACUGAGACACGGUCCAGACACCUACGGGUGGCAGCAGUCGAGAAUUUUUCACAAUGGGCGCAAGCCUGAUGGAGCGACGCCGCGUGGGGGAUGAAUGGCUUCGGCCCGUAAACCCCUGUCAUUCGCGAUCAAACCUUGCUAUUUAAAAGAUGGUGAGCUGAUAGUAGCGGAAGAGGAAGGGACGGCUAACUCUGUGCCAGCAGCCGCGGUAAUACAGAGGUCCCAAGCGUUGUUCGGAUUCACUGGGCGUAAAGGGUGCGUAGGUGGUGAGGUAAGUCGGAUGUGAAAGCUCGGAGCUCAACUCCGAAAUGGCAUUGGAAACUACCUUGCUCGAGGGUUGGAGGGGGGGACUGGAAUACUUGGUGUAGCAGUGAAAUGCGUAGAUAUCAAGUGGAACACCAGUGGCGAAGGCGAGUCCCUGGACAACUCCUGACACUGAGGCACGAAAGCUAGGGGAGCAAACAGGAUUAGAUACCCUAGUAGUCC